RNAcentral lists this ribosomal RNA (894 nucleotides) under Triticum aestivum (bread wheat). RNAcentral describes it as "partial small subunit ribosomal RNA". The record is from RNAcentral. Lineage: Eukaryota; Viridiplantae; Streptophyta; Magnoliopsida; Poales; Poaceae.
AUUUCGUUUGAUUUGCUUUGUCCUCGUCCUCUGCACAUGAUGCUAACUUGGAUUUUGCUUGGGCAGGUGCCUUUCUCUCUUGAGGACCCGGAUUACAAGGGUCUUGAGCUAGAUCUGAUAGUGCUGUGCGAGAAGCAUGGGAAGCCAUCAGAGAGGCUUGUUGCAUUUGAAGGAACAAUGACUGGGAGAAGGUUCUUAGCAUGUGCAGAGCCGGAAGGUCAGAAUUGUGGGUUUGUUCAGUGGGUUGAUGAGCAGUGGCCCCCAACAAUGGAGAAUGCAUUGCUGAAGCUUUGGUCAAUGGUUGAAGAGAGCAAGUCUGCUAGGGUGAAUGAUAAUCUUCAAAGUGCUUUAACUAUUCACCAUUUGACAGAAGAAAAGAAGAAGCUGGAUGCAGACUACGACAAGUUAGUGAAAGAUGUGCAUCAACUUGUGGACUUUCAGCAGGAUAGGGUUGUGGAUUUCAGUUAUAUGCAGUCAGCUGUCACAUAUCAGCACCAAUGCAGGGCUGAAUUGGUGGCUGGUAUGAAUGCAGAAAUGGCAGAGAAAGAUGCAGCAACAGAGAAGCUUCAACAGAAGUAUGAAAUCCUGUGUAACCUGACAAGUGCUCAAGCAACUGCCAUCCAAAACCUCAAGUUGAAGAAUAUGAAAGAGAAGGAAUUGAUGAGUGAGGCUAGGAUGAAUUUGGAGUUGAAGAAUGCAGAGUUCACAAAGUUUGAGGAGAAGCUCACCCAAGAGAAGCUAGAGUUGAAGUUCCAGGUUGCUGAUCUGCUGAAGCUCAAGGAAAACCAUAAUGAAGAGAAGCAUAUGCAAGAGUUUAAUAUUACUGAGCUCAUGAAGGCAGAGGAGAAGCUGAAGGAGAAGAUCAAGGGGAUCCAGGCCAUCUUGGAGAACUGA